AGGGCAUCCACAAUAGGGGAAACCCUGAUGGUGCGACGCCCGCGUGUGGGAUGAAGGCCCUUGGGUUUGUAAACCACUGUCAGGAGGGAAUAAGGCUCCGAUGCUCACGUUUCGGAGAUUGAAGGUACCUCCAGAGGAAGCACCGGCUAACUCCGUGCCAGCAGCCGCGGUAAUACGGAGGGUGCAAGCGUUGUUCGGAUUUAUUGGGCGUAAAGGGUGCGUAGGCGGGUUGGCAAGUCUCUUGGUUAAAUUUUCACCGCUCAACGGGAAAACGCCGGAGAUACUGCCAGUCUUGAGAGCGGUAGGGGUGAGUGGAAUUCCUGGUGUAACGGUGGAAUGUUUAGAUAUCAGGAAGAACACCAGUGGCGAAGGCGACUCACUGGACCGCAUCUGACGCUGAGGCACGAAAGCUAGGGGAGCGAACAGGAUUAGAUACCCUGGUAGUCCUAGCCGUA
RNAcentral lists this ribosomal RNA (455 nucleotides) under uncultured marine bacterium. Its description in RNAcentral is "bacterial SSU rRNA". It matches the Rfam family "Bacterial small subunit ribosomal RNA", at positions 359 to 804 of the family's 1533-position model. The record is from RNAcentral.